RNAcentral lists this ribosomal RNA (494 nucleotides) under uncultured bacterium. RNAcentral describes it as "bacterial SSU rRNA". It matches the Rfam family "Bacterial small subunit ribosomal RNA", at positions 28 to 507 of the family's 1533-position model. The record is from RNAcentral.
GACGAACGCUGGCGGCGUGCCUAACACAUGCAAGUCGAGCGAGUGGAUUUCCUUCGGGGAAGAAGCUAGCGGCGGACGGGUGAGUAACACGUGGGCAACCUGCCUGUAAGACUGGGAUAACUCCGGGAAACCGGAGCUAAUACCGGAUACUAUGUCAAACCGCAUGGUUUGACAUUCAAAGACGGUUUCGGCUGUCACUUACAGAUGGGCCCGCGGCGCAUUAGCUAGUUGGUGAGGUAAUGGCUCACCAAGGCGACGAUGCGUAGCCGACCUGAGAGGGUGAUCGGCCACACUGGGACUGAGACACGGCCCAGACUCCUACGGGAGGCAGCAGUAGGGAAUCUUCCGCAAUGGACGAAAGUCUGACGGAGCAACGCCGCGUGAGUGAUGAAGGUUUUCGGAUCGUAAAACUCUGUUGUCAGGGAAGAACAAGUGCCGGAGUAACUGCCGGCACCUUGACGGUACCUGACCAGAAAGCCACGGCUAACUACGUG